Molecule: ribosomal RNA, 429 nt
Filed under: Gemmatimonadota bacterium
Lineage: Bacteria; Pseudomonadati; Gemmatimonadota
Description: Gemmatimonadetes bacterium partial 16S ribosomal RNA
Rfam family: Bacterial small subunit ribosomal RNA
Source: RNAcentral
UAGGGAAUCUUCGGCAAUGGACGAAAGUCUGACCGAGCAACGCCGCGUGAGUGAAGAAGGUUUUCGGAUCGUAAAACUCUGUUGUUAGAGAAGAACAAGGACGUUAGUAACUGAACGUCCCCUGACGGUAUCUAACCAGAAAGCCACGGCUAACUACGUGCCAGCAGCCGCGGUAAUACGUAGGUGGCAAGCGUUGUCCGGAUUUAUUGGGCGUAAAGCGAGCGCAGGCGGUUUCUUAAGUCUGAUGUGAAAGCCCCCGGAUCAACCGGGGAGGGUCGUUGGAAACUGGGGGACUGGAGGGCAGAAGAGGAGAGUGGAAUUCCAUGUGUGGCGGUGAAAUGCGUAGAUAUAUGGAGAAACACCAGUGGCGAAGGCGGCUCUCUGGCCUGUAACGGACGCUGGGGAUCGAAAGCGGGGGGAGCAAACAGG